This 449-nucleotide ribosomal RNA is filed under the name uncultured bacterium. RNAcentral's name for it is "partial 16S ribosomal RNA". It matches the Rfam family "Bacterial small subunit ribosomal RNA", at positions 29 to 523 of the family's 1533-position model. The record is from RNAcentral.
AACGAACGCUGGCGGCAUGCCUAACACAUGCAAGUCGAACGAGAUCUUCGGGUCUAGUGGCGCACGGGUGCGUAACGCGUGGGAAUCUGCCCUUUGGUUCGGAAUAACAGUUGGAAACGACUGCUAAUACCGGAUGAUGACGAAAGUCCAAAGAUUUAUCGCCAGAGGAUGAGCCCGCGUAGGAUUAGCAAGUUGGUGUGGUAAAGGCGCACCAAGGCGACGAUCCUUAGCUGGUCUGAGAGGAUGAUAGGCCACACUGGGACUGAGACACGGCCCCGACUUCUACGGGUGGCAGCAGUGGGGAAUAUUGGACAAUGGGCGAAAGCCUGAUCCAGCAAUGCCGCGUGAGUGAUGAAGGCCUUAGGGUUGUAAAGCUCUUUUACCCGGGAUGAUAAUGACAGUACCGGGAGAAUAAGCUCCGGCUAACUCCGUGCCAGCAGCCGCAGUAA